UAUGAAGUCGUUUUUCAAAGGGAGGAAUUAUCAACUUCACUCUCUUACGUCACUAACACACAACACAAACGCACUUCACACUCACUCAACACCUCACACAACACACCCGCACACACAAGUCACAUAAAGGGACACAAAAACGCAGUUGCUGCGCAACCUGCCAGCGCCAAAAAAAAAAAAUUAUUUCUUCUCCAACCAUCAUUCUCAUGAGAUCAGGUAUGCUUUUAUCUAGUUCUCUCUUCUCCUCUUCUCUUCCUCUCCCUUGUAGUACUUUUGUUUUCUUUUUCUAUGGUUCUUUUAUGUGGAGUUGAGAGCACAAACUGUGCAGUUGUUGUUGGCUGAUUGAUAUGCAAGUAUGAUCAUUUAAACUAUAAUUCCAUUAAGUUGGGAGUGUAGUUCAAUUAUUUACUGUAUUCAAAGAGCUUGGUUAAAGUUCCGCCUGCAACCUGUUCGAUUGAAUUGUCUGAGAGAGGAUUUUAUUUUCCGGUGAAGUCUUGAGUAACCGAGCGCUAUUAGGAGUUGAUUAGGAGUAAGUUUGGGGUUUCUAGGUACUAUAUGGGCUGCUUGGUCAGCUUUCUUGAGCCAGGACUGUGAUAGGGAGUCUUUUGACGUUGAAUUGUUCUACAUUGACCGAAAAUGAUGUGUGGGAAAGCUUUAAUUGGUGCUGACUUGUGUCUUGAUCAACUGUUGUCGCGCUUCAAUUUUCGAGUUACAUUAGCUGUCAAAUUGUGCCCUCGCUUACUAUCUGUAGCUGCUGAAUAUUCUUAGUUGAAAAAGAAAAUUACAUCAACACAUGAAAAUGGAAUAGAAGGUAGUCUGAAUGUAGAUGGUUGUGCAGGAGAAAUGGGUUUAUUUUUUGCAAGUCUCUGUUCUUGUGCGUCUUAAGAGUCGAACAUUUUCUUCUUUAGGCUGAAUUUUUUUUUCUUUGGAUACAAGAUUCUGGUUUGCACUGCUAAAUGGAGGAAUUGUUGCUUGCUUAUUUUCGAUAGUUGUGAUGUUAAAACUCUGUCCAAAGAACCUGCAAAAUCUGAUUUUAUUGUUUUAAAAGAGAAUCCAUUGUUAGAAAUGUUAUUUUUGAGGGAAGUUGGAUUCAAGAGGCUUGUGAUGAAUAUUUUAACUUACUUAGAUGAUAAUGUUUUAUCUGAAAUGGAAAGAAAGAUGAAAGUUUUUUGAAGCUGAUUUCGAAUGCCAAUGGGACGGGUUGCCUGAAAGUCCUUGAAACUGUGACUAUCUUUGGAGGCUACAUAUAUAGUAAAUUUGAAAGACAUAUUAUUGGUUGCUAAUUGUCUGCUUAUUCUUUAAAAUAAAAUACAGUUCCUUUCCCUAUUGCAUAAAAGUUAAAUCAUAAAUACAAUUGAUUAAUAGACCAUGAUGAAUAGAAGCAAACAGUAGACCAAUUAUGCUUUGAGCUCAUAUAAGUUAGCUGCUGUAAUCAGAUUGCGUUCAACUACUGCAAUUGGGAGAAGAAUAAGAACUUGCAGAGUAGCAAGAAGACGAAAAAGCAGCAUCUGUGCGUAAUUUAUUCUCUAACUAAAAAAAGGGUAGUCCGGUGCACUAAACUCCCGCUAUGCGUAAUUUAUGCUCUGACCAAACUUUUAAUAUUAGAUAUGUUUUAAAUAACAGCCCUAGAAGUGGCUACUUUGAAUACUGAAUAAUAUGUUUUAAAUACCAGCUCUAAAAAUGGCUAUUGGUGCACUUAGCCCCCAAAAUUUAGAGACCUGGUAGGGCUAAGAUUUGACAGAAGCGAGGAGCAUGUCUUUUGAACCGAAGCGAAGGAAAAUUGACGGUGAACCUCCACGCAGGGCUAUCAUUCCGCCACCUAAGAGAAAAGCAACAACCUCUAGCGUGGUGAUUGCAGAACAAACAAGCAGCUUCACUAAUCUCAGGCUACAACAGGCUAAGAAUUC
Molecule: long non-coding RNA, 1907 nt
Filed under: Nicotiana tabacum (common tobacco)
Lineage: Eukaryota; Viridiplantae; Streptophyta; Magnoliopsida; Solanales; Solanaceae
Description: long non-coding RNA (NTAB_LNC005319)
Source: RNAcentral